AGAAGAAGAAAACGAAAAAGACACCGCGUCAGAUAUUCGACGAGCGAGCGCGUCGACGUCAUUACCAUCACGUAGGGCACCGGCUCGUAGUCGCGCUGGUGGCCGACGACGACUCGCACCCGCCGUCACUCGGCGCGUCCGAUGCUGAACGAGAGACGGCUCGAGGACAACACGCUGGCGGACGGGGAACGUAAUGGUAGCGCCGUGGUCGCCGGCCCGGCGCUCUCAUCGUCGUUGCCGUCGUGCACGGUGCCCUACAUCGGCACCGACCAGGGCUACGUGUUCGAGGGUGGCGGCACGACGACGCUGCAGCAGCCCGGUGCAGUCGGCGCCCUCGCGAUCGGCUGCACCGGUGGCGGAGGAGGUCUCGGGUUCGGCGCGUCGACGGGGGUCCCGGGGGGUGGGCUGGGUGGCGGGAUAGGACUCGGUGGAGUCGGUGGAGCCGCGGGGGUUCCAGGAAUGAUUGGUGGAACAGGAGCAGGAAGCGGAGGAGGUAUAGCAGGAGCAGGAGGGGUUGGGAGUGGUGGUGUAGGAGGAGGAGGAGGAGGAGCAGGAGGAAACGUGAACAAGGAGGUCCGUUACGCUGCAUUCGCAUCAUCUGUAGGACCGGUCGGUACCGUGGCGCCGGUAAACCUGCCUUCUCUACCGCCACCGCCGCCGCCGCCGCCGCCGCCGCCGCCACCGCCGCCGCCGCCCCUGCCGCUGCAGAUGCAGCAGCAGCGUGCCUUCUCGAGGUCGAUGACGUCCCUGCCGCCGGAGCCGUUCAUGAUCAUGCGUUCGAAGGCGCUGAACCGGCGCGUCUCGAUCAACGUCGGCGGCGUGAAGCACGAGGUGCUCUGGCGCACCCUCGAGCGGCUGCCGCACACGCGCCUAGGCCGGUUACGUGACUGCAACACCCACGAGGCGAUCACCGAGCUCUGCGAUGACUACUCCCUGAUCGACAACGAGUACUUCUUCGACCGGCAUCCAAAGUCCUUCAGCUCGAUCCUCAACUUCUAUCGCACCGGCAAGCUCCACUUGGUGGACGAGAUGUGCGUGCUGGCGUUUAGCGACGACCUCGCGUACUGGGGCGUCGAUGAGCUCUACCUCGAGAGCUGCUGCCAGCACAAGUACCACCAGCGGAAGGAGCACGUGCACGAGGAGAUGCGCAAGGAGGCGGAAUCGCUGCGGCAGCGCGAGGAGGAGGAGUUCGGCGAGGGGAAGUGCGCCCAGUACCAGAAGUGGCUGUGGGACCUCCUCGAGAAGCCGACCACGUCCAUCGCCGCGAGGGUGAUAGCUGUGAUAUCAAUACUCUUUAUUGUGCUUUCGACGAUCGCACUAACUCUCAACACCAUUCCUAGUAUGCAAGUGAAUGAUGAGAAGGGGAACUUUCAAGACAAUCCGCAGCUCGCGAUGGUGGAGGCCGUGUGUAUCUCGUGGUUCACCCUCGAGUACCUGCUUAGGUUCAGUGCCUCGCCGGACAAGUGGAAGUUCUUCAAGGGCGGUCUUAACGUGAUCGAUCUGCUGGCGAUACUGCCGUACUUCGUAUCUCUGUUCCUGGUCGAGACAAACAAGAACGCGAACGACCAGUUCCAGGACGUGCGCAGGGUAGUGCAGAUCUUUCGUAUAAUGCGGAUCCUGAGGAUCUUGAAGCUGGCCCGCCACUCGACCGGGCUGCAGAGUCUCGGCUUCACCCUACGUAACUCGUACAAGGAGCUGGGCCUGCUGAUGCUCUUCCUGGCGAUGGGCGUCCUCAUAUUCUCGAGCCUCGCCUACUUCGCCGAGAAGGAGGAGCCCGGGACCAAAUUCGUAAGCAUUCCAGAGACCUUCUGGUGGGCGGGCAUCACAAUGACCACCGUCGGAUACGGCGACAUCUACCCCACGACCCCGCUCGGCAAAGCGAUCGGCAGUGUGUGUUGUAUAUGUGGUGUCCUGGUAAUCGCGUUGCCCAUUCCCAUUAUCGUCAACAACUUCGCCGAGUUCUACAAGAAUCAGAUGAGACGAGAGAAGGCGAUCAAGAGGCGGGAGGCCCUCGAGAGGGCCAAGCGGGAGGGCAGCAUCGUGUCUUUCCAUCACAUCAACCUGAGGGAUGCCUUCGCCAAGAGCAUGGAUCUCAUCGACGUCAUCGUCGACACCGGUCACAACAUGUCCGGGGUGGAUGGUAACAGCACGGAGGGUGAGUCCGCGAGUGGUCGCGGGCCCGCGCAAACCGGACCCGGCUGUUACCGUAACUAUGAGCAUUACGGCCUGCGGCAUCGACGCAGUGCGUCCAAUGCCUGCUUCCCGAAUCUGCCCAACGACCUGCCUGCAACACCUGACAGCCCGAACCGCCGACUCCUCGACUAUGCCCAGAGCGUGCCGGGUACUCAGAACGAUGAUUACUAUCAAGACGAGAUGCCGGCGCAGCACGUCAACCAGGCCAACAUGACGUCUAGCGAUGAAGAGAAAAAAGACAGCAGAAAAUUCGAGAAAAUUGAUGAAAUACCUAGCGAAUUCGAGUGUUGCUUUUGUACCACGAAGGAGUACAAAGACUUCAGCGACGCGGAGAACAUAAUGCCGCUUGCCACCAGCGACUUUCGUAAUCCAGUCUGUCAGGAAAUGAGGUCCCUCAGGUUCAUCAGCAGUGGCGGCGGCGGCGGUGGCGGUGGUGGUAUUGGGGGCGGAAGCGGAAGUGGCGCGGACCAGCUCGUCAGCUCGUCGCUCGCGGAAACGAGGACGUCGCCCGUGCAGCCGCCGGAGACCCUGAGCUUCGCGAGGACCUACAACGAGCAGGAGGGCUACGCGAAGACGUACAACGAGCAGGGAAGCGUCGACAGUUCCGACACGUACGCGAGCUGUCAGACUCAUCCGUCGCAUUCGCAGGGCGAUCUGACCGAGGAAGCGGACAGCAAUCUUUACGUGAAUCCCCUGGAGGCAACGGAGAAAUGCGGGACCGGUCGGGUGAAAAAAUCCAUUUCCGGCGAGGUCGGGCGAAACGUCUCCACCGAUGCGUCGCCCAGUAUCGAGUCCCUGAAGGAGAUCCGGCCUUUUAACGAGGUCAGCAAAGUCAACCUGAACGACACGAUACCCAAGCAUAGGAAAAUAAGGAUCCAACAGCCGCAAAAACCGCCGAGACUACAAGCGGAGCGCAGUUGAGCGAUCGCCGCGGGCUAUCGUACUUUUCUGAACGCUCCGAUGCACGUCAAAGGGGGAAACGCGCGAUAUCGCACGUUGGCGCUCGGACACGGAAAGCGUGAAGCCGCGGGCGCAAUUUUUCGGCGAUCAGGAGAGCAUGGUGGCGCGCGGCAUCCUGAGGGAGGACAUCGCCAACCUGGAGGACAACAAUAACCAUUAC
RNAcentral lists this unclassified non-coding RNA (3313 nucleotides) under Ooceraea biroi (clonal raider ant). RNAcentral describes it as "potassium voltage-gated channel protein Shab, transcript variant X1". The stretch from base 1837 to 1950 matches the Rfam family "Potassium channel RNA editing signal". Lineage: Eukaryota; Metazoa; Arthropoda; Insecta; Hymenoptera; Formicidae. The record is from RNAcentral.